GGUAAAAUGGCCGAGUGUUAGGCGGCGGAGUGUAGUUCCGAUUACAGGGGUUCAAGUCCUUUUGUUA
RNAcentral lists this transfer RNA (67 nucleotides) under Chthonerpeton indistinctum. Its description in RNAcentral is "tRNA-Tyr". It matches the Rfam family "tRNA". Rfam says of the family: Transfer RNA (tRNA) molecules are approximately 80 nucleotides in length. Their secondary structure includes four short double-helical elements and three loops (D, anti-codon, and T loops). Lineage: Eukaryota; Metazoa; Chordata; Amphibia; Gymnophiona; Typhlonectidae. The record is from RNAcentral.